UCCUACGGGAGGCAGCAGAGGGGAAUAUUGGACAAUGGGCGCAAGCCUGAUUUAGCCAUACCGCGUGGGUGAAGAAGGCCUUCGGGUUGUAAAGCCCUUUUGUUGGGAAAGAAAAGCGAUCGGUUAAUACCCGGCUGUUCUGACGGUACCCAAAGAAUAAGCACCGGCUAACUUCGUGCCAGCAGCCGCGGCAAUACGAAGGGUGCAAGCGUUACUCGGAAUUACUGGGCGUAAAGCGUGCGUAGGUGGUGGUUUAAGUCCGUUGUGAAAGCCCUGGGCUCAACCUGGGAAUUGCAGUGGAUACUGGGUCACUAGAGUGUGGUAGAGGAUAGUGGAAUUUCCGGUGUAGCAGUGAAAUGCGUAGAGAUCGGAAGGAACAUCUGUGGCGAAGGCGACUAUCUGGGCCAACACUGACACUGAGGCACGAAAGCGUGGGGAGCAAACAGGAUUAGAUACCCUGGUAGUCCACGCCCUAAACGAUGCGAACUGGAUGUUGGGUUCAACUUGGAACCCAGUAUCGAAGCUAACGCGUUAAGUUCGCCGCCUGGGGAGUACGGUCGCAAGACUGAAACUCAAAUGAAUUGACGGA
This 589-nucleotide ribosomal RNA is filed under the name uncultured bacterium. Its description in RNAcentral is "bacterial SSU rRNA". It matches the Rfam family "Bacterial small subunit ribosomal RNA", at positions 337 to 917 of the family's 1533-position model. The record is from RNAcentral.